Long non-coding RNA from Oxyura jamaicensis (ruddy duck), 223 nucleotides. RefSeq lists it as uncharacterized. The transcript has 3 exons. The record is from RefSeq and is a predicted model, not a curated record. Lineage: Eukaryota; Metazoa; Chordata; Aves; Anseriformes; Anatidae.
CAAGUCCUUCUCCUGAGGGCUGCUCUCAGUCCAUUCUCCACCUAACCUGUAUUUGUGCUUGGGAUUGCCCCUAACCAGAUGUAGGACCUUGCACAUGGCCUUGUUGAAACUCAUGAGGUUUGCAUAGACCCACCUCUCAAGCCUGUCCAGGUCCCUCUGGAUGGCAUCCCUUCCCUCCAGUGUAUCAACCGCACCACACAGCUUGUAUUCAUCAGCAACCUGG